CCUACGGGAGGCAGCAGUGAGGAAUAUUGGUCAAUGGACGAGAGUCUGAACCAGCCAAGUAGCGUGAAGGAUGACUGCCCUAUGGGUUGUAAACUUCUUUUAUAAAGGAAUAAAACGAGGCACGUGUGCCCUUUUGCAUGUACUUUAUGAAUAAGGAUCGGCUAACUCCGUGCCAGCAGCCGCGGUAAUACGGAGGAUCCGAGCGUUAUCCGGAUUUAUUGGGUUUAAAGGGAGCGUAGAUGGGUUGUUAAGUCAGUUGUGAAAGUUUGUGGCUCAACCGUAAAAUUGCAAUUGAUACUGGCAGUCUUGAGUACAGUUGAGGUAGGCGGAAUUCGUGGUGUAGCGGUGAAAUGCUUAGAUAUCACGAAGAACCCCGAUUGCGAAGGCAGCUUACUAAACUGUGACUGACAUUGAUGCUCGAAAGUGUGGGUAUCAAACAGGAUUAGAUACCCGGGUAGUC
RNAcentral lists this ribosomal RNA (460 nucleotides) under uncultured bacterium. RNAcentral describes it as "partial 16S ribosomal RNA". It matches the Rfam family "Bacterial small subunit ribosomal RNA", at positions 338 to 795 of the family's 1533-position model. The record is from RNAcentral.